GUUUAAAAAGAGGGAAUUGUGUUUUUGACUGGUUGCCUGUCUACCGGAGGUCUGUUGUAGGGUUGUCAUGGUGAUGACUAGACCUCGCGUUUUGGGGGUAUACUGUCCCUUUAAGAGCCGCCGUAAGCCAGAGCACGCAUGCACUCAAGUUUGUGUCACACUGAGCGCUGUGAGCGGGAGCACUGGAGAGUUAGAGACUGCAAAAGAUUCUGUGGCUAGCUACACACGAGGUAAAUGUGCUAAAAAGUGUAGCAUACUGCAAAAUAUUGUCACCAGUGUUGUAGUAGACUGUAAUUAGCUAAGUUUCUUUAGCAAUGACUCCAUGUUUGUGACCAUUUCUGUACAGUUCUUAACGCGCGACGGGUGCAUGUUUAAUGGUCACGUGCCGUGAAAAGGGACUGAAGAGCGGGUUGGCAGGGGAGAUUACUUGCUGUGUGAUUCCUGCGUGUGUACUUGUCCUAGCACAGUAGCUGUGUGGAGAAACCGAAGGGAGUUCAUGAUGUUCUCCCAUAGAAAUGUCACUACUGUUGUCUAUACUGUUUGGAUUUAACAUGUACAUAUGAUAGUUACUGUUGUCUCAGACCCUGAAAGGCAGUUUAGGCUGAGCCAGUGGAAUAGUUAAAUUUUGCCGUUUCACUCAAAACUACAGAAUUAAAACUGUGCUCCUCCGAGUACAGUCGGAGAAUAAAAAAGCCCACAAAAGAGUAUUUCCUGUGUCCUGUCUCAUUCCCCAUGACCGGGCCAC
Molecule: long non-coding RNA, 745 nt
Organism: Astatotilapia calliptera (eastern happy)
Lineage: Eukaryota; Metazoa; Chordata; Actinopteri; Cichliformes; Cichlidae
Source: Ensembl